UUGGAGGGCAAGUCUGGUGCCAGCAGCCGCGGUAAUUCCAGCUCCAAUAGCGUAUAUUAAAGUUGCUGCAGUUAAAAAGCUCGUAGUUGAAUUUCGGGAUCAUCAUGUCGGUCGUGCCUCGGUACGUACUGGCAUCGUUGGUUUCUCCCUUCUGACGAACCACGAUGUCAUUUAUUUGGUGUUGUGGGGAAUCAGGACUGUUACUUUGAAAAAAUUAGAGUGUUUAAAGCAGGCUCACGCUUGAAUACAUUAGCAUGGAAUAAUGAAAUAGGACGUUUGAUUCUAUUUUGUUGGUUUCUAGGAUCGACGUAAUGAUUAAUAGGGAUAGUUGGGGGCAUUAGUAUUCAAUUGUCAGAGGUGAAAUUCUUGGAUUUAUUGAAGACUAACUACUGCGAAAGCAUUUGCCAAGGAUGUUUUCAUUAAUCAAGAACGAAAGUUAGGGGAUCGAAGACGAUCAGAUACCGUCGUAGUCUUAACCAUAAACUAUGCCGACUAGGGAUCGGAUGAUGUUAAUUUUUUAAUGACUCAUUCGGCGCCUUACGGGAAACA
This 549-nucleotide ribosomal RNA is filed under the name uncultured Glomus. RNAcentral's name for it is "SSU rRNA". It matches the Rfam family "Eukaryotic small subunit ribosomal RNA", at positions 548 to 1099 of the family's 1831-position model. Lineage: Eukaryota; Fungi; Glomeromycota; Glomeromycetes; Glomerales; Glomeraceae. The record is from RNAcentral.